This 253-nucleotide ribosomal RNA is filed under the name uncultured bacterium. RNAcentral's name for it is "partial 16S ribosomal RNA". It matches the Rfam family "Bacterial small subunit ribosomal RNA", at positions 524 to 776 of the family's 1533-position model. The record is from RNAcentral.
UACGGGGGGGGCAAGCGUUGUUCGGAAUUACUGGGCGUAAAGGGCUCGUAGGUGGCCAACUAAGUCAGACGUGAAAUCCCUCAGCUUAACUGGGGAACUGCGUCUGAUACUGGAUGGCUUGAGAUUGGGAGAGGGAUGCGGAAUUCCAGGUGUAGCGGUGAAAUGCGUAGAUAUCUGGAGGAACACCGGUGGCGAAGGCGGUUCUCUGGGCAUUACCUGACGCUGAGGAGCGAAAGUGUGGGGAGCGAACAGG